GGGGGGCUAUCAUGCAAGUCGAACGCUUCUUUUUCCACCGGAGCUUGCUCCACCGGAAAAAGAGGAGUGGCGAACGGGUGAGUAACACGUGGGUAACCUGCCCAUCAGAAGGGGAUAACACUUGGAAACAGGUGCUAAUACCGUAUAACAAUCAAAACCGCAUGGUUUUGAUUUGAAAGGCGCUUUCGGGUGUCGCUGAUGGAUGGACCCGCGGUGCAUUAGCUAGUUGGUGAGGUAACGGCUCACCAAGGCCACGAUGCAUAGCCGACCUGAGAGGGUGAUCGGCCACAUUGGGACUGAGACACGGCCCAAACUCCUACGGGAGGCAGCAGUAGGGAAUCUUCGGCAAUGGACGAAAGUCUGACCGAGCAACGCCGCGUGAGUGAAGAAGGUUUUCGGAUCGUAAAACUCUGUUGUUAGAGAAGAACAAGGAUGAGAGUAACUGUUCAUCCCUUGACGGUAUCUAACCAGAAAGCCACGGCUAACUACGUGCCAGCAGCCGCGGUAAUACGUAGGUGGCAAGCGUUGUCCGGAUUUAUUGGGCGUAAAGCGAGCGCAGGCGGUUUCUUAAGUCUGAUGUGAAAGCCCCCGGCUCAACCGGGGAGGGUCAUUGAAACUGGGAGACUUGAGUGCAAAAAGAGGAGAGUGGAAUUCCAUGUGUAGCGGUGAAAAUGCGUAGAUAUAUGGAGAACCACCAUUGGCAAAGGCGGCUCUCUGGUCUGUAACUGACGCUGAGGCUCGAAAGCGUGGGGGAGAAAACAGGAUUAAAUCCCCUGGUACUCCCCCCCGUAAACAAUGAGUGCUAAGUGUUGGAGGGUUUCCGCCCCUUCCGUGCUGCCGGUAACCCAUUAAGCACUCCGCCUGGGGAGUACGACCGCAGGUUGAACCUCAAAGGAUUGACGGGGGCCCGCACCACCCGGUGGASCUGUGGAUUAAUUCCAAAGCUACCGCAAAAAACCUUAACAGGUCUUGGACC
This 976-nucleotide ribosomal RNA is filed under the name Enterococcus faecium. RNAcentral's name for it is "bacterial SSU rRNA". It matches the Rfam family "Bacterial small subunit ribosomal RNA", at positions 41 to 987 of the family's 1533-position model. Lineage: Bacteria; Bacillati; Bacillota; Bacilli; Lactobacillales; Enterococcaceae. The record is from RNAcentral.